AGUGAACGCUGGCGGCGUGCUUGACACAUGCAAGUCGAACGAGAACGGAUUAUAGCUUGCUAUAAUUGUCAGCUAAGUGGCGCACGGGUGAGUAAUGUAUAGGUAAUAUGCCUCUUACUAAGGGAUAACAAAUGGAAACGUUUGCUAAUACCUUAUACUCCUUAUUAACAGAAGUUAAUAAGGGAAAGAUUUAUUGGUAAGAGAUUAGCCUGUAUUGUAUCAGUUAGUUGGUGGGGUAAUGGCUUACCAAGACUAUGACACAUAACUGGUUUGAAAGGAUGAUCAGUCACACUGGAACUGAGACACGGUCCAGACUCCUACGGGAGGCAGCAGUGGGGAAUAUUGCACAAUGGACGAAAGUCUGAUGCAGCAACGCCGCGUGGAGGAUGACACAUUUCGGUGCGUAAACUCCUUUUAUAUGAGAAGAUAAUGACGGUAUUAUAUGAAUAAGCACCGGCUAACUCCGUGCCAGCAGCCGCCGUAA
RNAcentral lists this ribosomal RNA (484 nucleotides) under uncultured bacterium. RNAcentral describes it as "partial 16S ribosomal RNA". It matches the Rfam family "Bacterial small subunit ribosomal RNA", at positions 29 to 523 of the family's 1533-position model. The record is from RNAcentral.